UACGAGGGGUGCAAACGUUAUUCGGAAUUACUGGGCGUAAAGGGUGCGUAGACGGCGACUCAAGUCAACUAUAAAAUCUCCCGGCUCAACCGGGAAUCUGUGGUUGAAACUGUGUUGCUAGAGGGUGGAAGAGAGAAGUGGAAUUCUCGGAGUAGCGGUAAAAUGCGUAGAUCUCGAGAGGAACACCGAUGGCGAAGGCAGCUUCUUGGUCCAUUUCUGACGUUGAUGCACGAAAGCGUGGGGAGCAAACAGG
This 253-nucleotide ribosomal RNA is filed under the name uncultured organism. RNAcentral describes it as "partial 16S ribosomal RNA". It matches the Rfam family "Bacterial small subunit ribosomal RNA", at positions 524 to 776 of the family's 1533-position model. The record is from RNAcentral.